UAAAGGAAGCGAUUCCGGCUACGGAUGGUCAUGCGUCGCAUUAGCUUGUUGGCGGGGUAACGGCCCACCAAGGCGACGAUGCGUAGGGGUUCUGAGAGGAAGGUCCCCCACACUGGUACUGAGACACGGACCAGACUCCUACGGGAGGCAGCAGUGAGGAAUAUUGGUCAAUGGCCGCAGGGCUGAACCAGCCAAGUCGCGUGAGGGAUGACGGUCCUAUGGAUUGUAAACCUCUUUUGUCAGGGAGCAAAGGGCGCCACGUGUGGCGUUUUGCGAGUACCUGAAGAAAAAGCAUCGGCUAACUCCGUGCCAGCAGCCGCGGCAAUACGGAGGAUGCGAGCGUUAUCCGGAUUUAUUGGGUUUAAAGGGUGCGCAGGCGGAAUGUCAAGUCAGCGGUAAAAUUUCGGGGCUCAACCCCGUCGUGCCGUUGAAACUGGCGUUCUUGAGUGAGCGAGAAGUAUGCGGAAUGCGUGGUGUAGCGGUGAAAUGCAUAGAUAUCACGCAGAACUCCGAUUGCGAAGGCAGCAUACCGGCGCUCAACUGACGCUCAUGCACGAAAGCGUGGGUAUCGAACAGGAUUAGAUACCCUGGUAGUCCACGCAGUAAACGAUGAAUACUAACUGUCCGGGCAGAAUGAUGCCUGG
This 644-nucleotide ribosomal RNA is filed under the name uncultured bacterium. RNAcentral's name for it is "bacterial SSU rRNA". It matches the Rfam family "Bacterial small subunit ribosomal RNA", at positions 202 to 842 of the family's 1533-position model. The record is from RNAcentral.